RNAcentral lists this long non-coding RNA (1031 nucleotides) under Rattus norvegicus (Norway rat). RNAcentral's name for it is "long non-coding RNA NONRATT007825". The record is from RNAcentral. Lineage: Eukaryota; Metazoa; Chordata; Mammalia; Rodentia; Muridae.
GUAUCGGAGCAGACCAUGUUCAGAGCCUUCUCCUGAAACACUGUGCCCCAGUAUUGGCGAAGCUGCGCCCUCCACCUGACAAUCAGGAUGCCUACCGGGGAGAAUUUGGGUCCCUUGGGCCCCUUCUCUGCUCCCAUGUGGUGAAGGCCAGGGCCCAGGCCGCUCUUCAAGCUCAGCAGGUCAACAGGACCACACUCACCAUCACACAGCCUCGGCCCACACUGACCCUCUCACAGGCCCCUCAGCCAGGCCCUCGUACCCCUGGCUUAUUGAAGGUCCCUGGCUCUAUUGCCUUGCCUGUCCAGACACUGGUGUCUGCAAGAGCUGCUGCCCCUCCUCAGCCUUCUCCUCCUCCAACGAAGUUUAUUGUAAUGUCCUCAUCUUCCAGUGCCUCAUCAACCCAGCAGGUCCUGUCCCUCAGCACCUCAGCUCCUGGUUCAGGCUCUACCACUACCUCUCCUGUCACCACCACAGUUCCCAGCGUGCAGCCCAUUGUCAAGCUGGUCUCCACUGCUACCACUGCACCCCCAAGCACAGCCCCUGCUGGUCCUGGCAGUGUUCAGAAAUACAUUGUGGUCUCUCUUCCCCCAACAGGGGAAGGCAAAGGAGGCCCUCCUUCUCAUCCUUCUCCAGUCCCACCUUCAUCUUCUUCACCAUCUCCACUUGGGGGCAGUGCCCUCUGUGGGGGGAAGCAGGAAACUGGGGACAGCCCCCCUCCAGCUCCAGGGACUCCAAAGGCUAAUGGCUCCCAGCCUACUGGACCUAGCUCUCCCCAGCCUGCUCUGUGAUAUUGUCACAUGUGCUGACCUCCUCUCUUCUGCAGAUUCCUACACACACAAACAACGUGUGAGGGAGGAAGAAGAAAGAUGUUUUCCCCAGUGACUUUCUUUUUAGAUUCUGUACAGUAAGUUCCUCAGAAUAAAAGUUGGAUUUGUAACUUUGUGAGCCUCCCUGUGUCACAAAACAGAAGGGGUGAGUCUGUGGAACCUUCCUGUCCAGAUCCAAAGUCACAAGAAAGAAAAUGCCUGCUG